Acanthosepion pharaonis is the source of this 114-nucleotide non-coding RNA. The record is from the annotation of a GenBank genome assembly. NCBI's taxonomy places the organism in Eukaryota, Metazoa, Mollusca, Cephalopoda, Sepiida, Sepiidae.
UUACGGUCAUAUUAUGUUGAAACACCAGUUCCCGUACGAAUACCGAAGUUAAACAACGUCGAGCCUGGUCAGUACCUAGAUGGGUGACCGCUUGGGAACACCAAGUGUUGUAAG